This 324-nucleotide RNase P RNA is filed under the name Eubacteriales bacterium. Its description in RNAcentral is "partial RNase P RNA component class A". It matches the Rfam family "Bacterial RNase P class A", at positions 63 to 367 of the family's 367-position model. Rfam says of the family: Ribonuclease P (RNase P) is a ubiquitous endoribonuclease, found in archaea, bacteria and eukarya as well as chloroplasts and mitochondria. Its best characterised activity is the generation of mature 5'-ends of tRNAs by cleaving the 5'-leader elements of precursor-tRNAs. The record is from RNAcentral. Lineage: Bacteria; Bacillati; Bacillota; Clostridia; Eubacteriales.
AGGGCAGGAUGCCGGAUAACGUCCGGUGGAGGCGACUCCAAGGCCAGUGCAACAGAAAUAUACCGCCGUCUGAAUCAAUGGUUCAUAGUUUGAAUCAUUGAUUCAAACAGGUAAGGGUGGAAAGGCAGAGUAAGAGACUACCGCAUUGCUGGUAACAGCAGUGGCACAUGUAAACCCCAUCCGAAGCAAGACCAAACAAAAGCGUUACAAAGGCUGCCCGCCAAGCUUUAGGUAGGUCGCUUGAGCCUGCUGGUAACAGCAGGACUAGAUAGAUGAUCGUCACAGCUAUGCUGACAUAACCCGGCUUAUAGCGCUGCUCAUUUU